GAGCUGCCCGCCCGAGGGAAGGAGACUCGGGUGCAGAAGUGGCCCCAGCUGGCCCCCGAGGGGCUGGGGGCACCGCUGGCUGCCCUGAGCUCUCUGCCGCCUCCUAACCUCUCCACACGGCUGCGCCUCCAGCUGGAGCCCUCCAGCUAUGGAAGGUCGUAUCACACAGCACUUCUCUGCUUACCCACCACCAAGAGCUGAUGGGCGGCGGGCAGCCUCCUGUGGAGCCUGUGUGGACAAAAAUGAACAGUGACAGAACAAGCAAGCCUCAGCUGAAUUACCCCCAUUCCCCAGCCCCGGGGGGCUUCGGAGCAGUGUUCCACGGGGACGGAAGAGCCCCUCUUGGCAUGUGAUGGGCCCACUCUGCCCUGAGCCCUCGCCUUCCAGCUUCAGGGGUGUAAGGGUCUGGAGAGGCGAGCCGUCUGGAACCUUGACCCCCUGCAUUCUGCAGGGAGUUGACUACAACGACCUUGGCAAGUCCCCCACGCAAAGGUCAACACUUCUCUGUGUUUAGUCUCUUCUCAGAUAAAGUGGGUCUGGAGGGCCCUCAGCCACCCCUCACCUGCCCAGCUACCCAUGGAUGCCCGGCGGUGCCCACUCACAGAGUCUUUGUGUUGUUUGCUUUUCUAGCUAAAGGGAAAUGGCAAAAAGGUAAA
Long non-coding RNA from Suricata suricatta (meerkat), 656 nucleotides. RefSeq lists it as uncharacterized. The record is from RefSeq and is a predicted model, not a curated record. The transcript has 2 exons. NCBI's taxonomy places the organism in Eukaryota, Metazoa, Chordata, Mammalia, Carnivora, Herpestidae.